RNAcentral lists this ribosomal RNA (1493 nucleotides) under uncultured bacterium. RNAcentral's name for it is "partial 16S ribosomal RNA". It matches the Rfam family "Bacterial small subunit ribosomal RNA". The record is from RNAcentral.
AGAGUUUGAUCCUGGCUCAGAUUGAACGCUGGCGGCAGGCCUAACACAUGCAAGUCGAACGGUAACAGGAUAGCUUGCUAUCGCUGACGAGUGGCGGACGGGUGAGUAAUACUUAGGGAUCUGCCUCUGUGUGGGGGAUAACUAUUGGAAACGAUAGCUAAUACCGCAUAAUGUCUACGGACCAAAGCGGGCUUCGGCUCGUGCGCAGAGAGGAACCUAAGCGAGAUUAGCUAGUUGGUGAGGUAAAGGCUCACCAAGGCGACGAUCUCUAGCUGUUCUGAGAGGAAGAUCAGCCACACUGGAACUGAGACACGGUCCAGACUCCUACGGGAGGCAGCAGUGGGGAAUAUUGCACAAUGGGGGAAACCCUGAUGCAGCCAUGCCGCGUGUGUGAAGAAGGCCUUCGGGUUGUAAAGCACUUUCAGUUGUGAGGAAAGUUUAGUAGUUAAUACCUGCUAGAUGUGACGUUAGCAACAGAAGAAGCACCGGCUAACUCCGUGCCAGCAGCCGCGGUAAUACGGAGGGUGCGAGCGUUAACGGAAUUACUGGGCGUAAAGCGCACGCAGGCGGUCUGUUAAGCUAGAUGUGAAAGCCCCGCGCUCAACGUGGGAGGGUCAUUUAGAACUGGCAGACUAGAGUCUUGGAGAGGGGAGUGGAAUUCCACGUGUAGCGGUGAAAUGCGUAGAGAUCUGGAGGAACAUCAAUGGCGAAGGCAACUCCCUGGCCAAAGACUGACGCUCAUGUGCGAAAGCGUGGGGAGCGAACAGGAUUAGAUACCCUGGUAGUCCACGCCGUAAACGAUGGAUACUAGCUGUUCGUCUAACAUUGGUUAGAUGAGUGGCUAAGCGAAAGUGAUAAGUAUCCCACCUGGGGAGUACGGUCGCAAGACUGAAACUCAAAGGAAUUGACGGGGGCCCGCACAAGCGGUGGAGCAUGUGGUUUAAUUCGAUGAUACGCGAGGAACCUUACCAGGGCUUAAAUGUAGUGGGACAGGUCUAGAGAUAGACCCUUCUUCGGACUCAUUACAAGGUGCUGCAUGGUUGUCGUCAGCUCGUGCCGUGAGGUGUCAGGUUAAGUCCUAUAACGAGCGCAACCCCUAUCGUUAGUUGCCAGCGAGUAAUGUCGGGAACUCUAACGAAACUGCCAGUGCAAACUGUGAGGAAGGUGGGGAUGACGUCAAAUCAUCAUGGCCCUUACGUGUAGGGCUACACACGUGCUACAAUGGCGCAUACAGAGUGCUGCGAACCUGCGAAGGUAAGCGAAUCACUUAAAGUGCGUCGUAGUCCGGAUUGGAGUCUGCAACUCGACUCCAUGAAGUCGGAAUCGCUAGUAAUCGCGUAUCAGAAUGACGCGGUGAAUACGUUCCCGGGCCUUGUACACACCGCCCGUCACACCAUGGGAGUGGGUUGCUCCAGAAGUAGAUAGUCUAACCCUCGGGAGGACGUUUACCACGGAGUGAUUCAUGACUGGGGUGAAGUCGUAACAAGGUAACC